GCUACGUUCGGAACUGAUAAGCGCUGAAAGCAUCUAAGCGCGAAGCAGGCCUCGAGAUGAGUUCUCACUAGACUUUUAAAGUCUCUGAAGGGCCGUUGAAGACUACAACGUUGAUAGGCAGGAUGUGGAAGUGGUGCGAGCCAUUAAGCUAACCUGUACUAAUUACCCGUGAGGCUUAACCAUACAACGCCAAACGCGUUU
RNAcentral lists this ribosomal RNA (201 nucleotides) under Pseudoalteromonas sp. UCD-33C. RNAcentral's name for it is "partial 23S ribosomal RNA". It matches the Rfam family "Bacterial large subunit ribosomal RNA", at positions 2748 to 2925 of the family's 2925-position model. Lineage: Bacteria; Pseudomonadati; Pseudomonadota; Gammaproteobacteria; Alteromonadales; Pseudoalteromonadaceae. The record is from RNAcentral.